CAGCACCUCAAGUGGUCAGGAUGAUUAUUGGGCCUAAAGCAUCCGUAACCGGCGCUGUAAGUUUUCGGUUAAAUCUGUACGCUCAACGUACAGGCUGCCGGGAAUACUGCAGCGCUAGGGAGUGGGAGAGGUAGACGGUACUCGGUAGGAAGGGGUAAAAUCCUUUGAUCUAUUGAUGACCACCUGUGGCGAAGGCGGUCUACCAGAACACGUCCGACGGUGAGGGAUGAAAGCUGGGGGAGCAAACCAGAUUAGAGACCCGAGUAGUCC
This 270-nucleotide ribosomal RNA is filed under the name uncultured archaeon. RNAcentral describes it as "partial 16S ribosomal RNA". It matches the Rfam family "Archaeal small subunit ribosomal RNA", at positions 477 to 747 of the family's 1478-position model. The record is from RNAcentral.